AAGUCGUAACAAGGUUUUCGUAGGUGAACCUGCGGAGGGUCAUUAACACGUAUUCAACGUUAAACCCCUGUGACACCUUCAGUGUGCUCGUGCACUCUUAGAAAAGGUAGCAAUCCUGGUAAAUCAUUGCCGAACAGUUUUGAUUUAGGGACUUCUCGUAGACUGCUUGUAGCGCGAGGCAAGUGGCCUGGCAUUCCUCUGCGAAUGGCGCAGUCACGAUCGCUAGAGGACGACACGGCCGGCGACCGGGUCACUGGGCUCACGCCCACACCUUUGCAUGAAAACGGGGCUGCGCUUAAUUGUGCGGCCACCAAACUCGAACAACUGUUAACAAUGGGGAUAUCUUGGUUCUC
This 353-nucleotide unclassified non-coding RNA is filed under the name fungal sp. RNAcentral describes it as "partial internal transcribed spacer region". Lineage: Eukaryota; Fungi. The record is from RNAcentral.